Molecule: ribosomal RNA, 392 nt
Filed under: uncultured bacterium
Lineage: Bacteria
Description: bacterial SSU rRNA
Rfam family: Bacterial small subunit ribosomal RNA
Source: RNAcentral
AUUGAACGCUGGCGGCAGGCCUAACACAUGCAAGUCGAACGGUAACAGGAAGAAGCUUGCUUCUUUGCUGACGAGUGGCGGACGGGUGAGUAAUGUCUGGGAAACUGCCUGAUGGAGGGGGAUAACUACUGGAAACGGUAGCUAAUACCGCAUAACGUCGCAAGACCAAAAGAGGGGGGACCUUCGGGCCUCUUGCCAUCGGAUGUGCCCAGAUGGGAUUAGCUAGUAGGUGGGGUAACGGCUCACCUAGGCGACGAUCCCUAGCUGGUCUGAGAGGAUGACCAGCCACACUGGAACUGAGACACGGUCCAGACUCCUACGGGAGGCAGCAGUGGGAAUAUGCACAAUGGGCGCAAGCCUGAUGCAGCCAUGCCGCGUGUAUGAAGAAGGCC